Molecule: non-coding RNA, 21 nt
Filed under: Arabidopsis thaliana (thale cress)
Lineage: Eukaryota; Viridiplantae; Streptophyta; Magnoliopsida; Brassicales; Brassicaceae
Source: RNAcentral
UGGUGUUACGGAUCUAGUGGU